Cicer arietinum (chickpea) is the source of this 82-nucleotide non-coding RNA. The record is from Rfam. Lineage: Eukaryota; Viridiplantae; Streptophyta; Magnoliopsida; Fabales; Fabaceae.
GGCUCUGUGAUAUUCUACCUUUUUUGCCGUAUAUGCUAUGCUGAUUCAAGUUAUGAGCAGAAAUUUUAUAUAAAUGAGAGCU